RNAcentral lists this long non-coding RNA (1477 nucleotides) under Mytilus galloprovincialis (Mediterranean mussel). Lineage: Eukaryota; Metazoa; Mollusca; Bivalvia; Mytilida; Mytilidae. The record is from RNAcentral.
UUUCCGUGGAAAGACCUAUUGGAUUUCUUCUGAUUAUUAUUUUUUUUUUUUUCUUCCGCCUAAUUUUUUUUCCUUCGCUGUUUUUUUGUUUCGCAAGAUGUCGCUUUGAUAUUUGGAAUAUGAUAUCGAACAGGUAAUACGCUUUUGAAACCAACUCUGCUUAACUGAAUACUUUCCCAUAUAAGAGUUAUCUCCCCGAACACUGUUUUUCUUGUGGCCACUUCUCCUUCGCAACCGUAAAAGAUUACGACAAAUUUAUUUUACCAAAUUGCUCGUUAUAUCCUCAGGAUGUUCUGUUUCAUUUUGACCGAAGCCGUAUAGAGAUUCCAUAUGAGAGUUAGUUCCCCUUUUGUAUUUGAAAUUUUGAAAUGUAUUUUAAACUGGAAAACCAUAAGUGAUAGAGACCUAGGGUCUUUUGAUUUGAGAUCCUUGGUCCAAAAAAAUGAAAAUUAGGUCAAGGUCAAAGGUCAAGGUCAUAUUCUAAAUUUUGAUUUUGGCUUAUUUUCACUCAUUUUCAUUAACCUUAUAAGAUAUCGACAAAUUAUUUUUACUAAAUUGUUAGUUGCGACAUGUCGUAACAUAAUAAUUUUGGUUGAAAGGGUGCGUAGACAAUAAAUGGGAGUUUUAGCCCCUAUCACAUCUAAAAUUAUGCGUAAAGUGAUAUAACUUAUUAACCAUACAUAUUAGAGACCUAGGGUCUUUUGAUUUGAGAUCCUUGGUCCAAAAAAAUGAAAAUUAGGUCAAGGUCAAAGGUCAAGGUCAUAUUCUAAAUUUUUGAUUUUGGCUUAUUUUCACUAAUUUUCAUUAACCUUAUAAGAUAUCAACAAAUUAUUUUUACUAAAUUGUUAGUUGCGACAUGUCGUAACAUUAAUAAUUUUGGUUGAAAGGGUGCGUAGUCAAUAAAUGGGAGUUUUAGCCCCUAUCAUAUCUAAAAUUAUGCGUAAAGUGAUAUAACUUAUUAACCAUACAUAUUAGAGACCUAGGGUCUUUUGAUUUGAGAUCCUUGGUCCAAAAAAAUGAAAAUUAGGUCAAGGUCAAAGGUCAAGGUCAUAUUCUAAAUUUUGAUUUUGGCUUAUUUUCACUAAUUUUCAUAAACCUUAUAAGAUAUCAACAAAUUAUUUUUACUAAAUUGUUAGUUGCGACAUGUCGUUACUUAAUAAUUUUGGUUGAAAGGGUGCGUAGUCAAUAAACAGGAGUUUUAGCCCCUAUCAUAUCUAAAAUUAUGCGUAAAGUGAUAUAACUUAUUUACCAUACAUAUUAGAGACCUAGGGUCUUUUGAUUUGAGAUCCUCAGUUUGUGACCUUGAAAUUGAGGUCAAGGUCAGAGGUAAAUUUGACGUUCUAGAUUAUGACCUUUGCUUAAAAUUCAUAUCUAUACAUCAUAAAGCCAUAGGAACUGACAUUUUAGACUGAUUUUUAAUAUUUUAAUAUCAAAAUAGAUAUUUACUGGUGGAAAGACCUUCAAUUGUUCUCUGAAC